CGGAUUAAGUGGCGAACGGGUGAGUAAUACGUGAGUAACCUGCCCUUGACUCUGGGAUAAGCCUGGGAAACUGGGUCUAAUACUGGAUACUACGUCCUGCCGCAUGGUGGGGGGUGGAAAGGGUUUUACUGGUUUUGGAUGGGCUCACGGCCUAUCAGCUUGUUGGUGGGGUAAUGGCUCACCAAGGCGACGACGGGUAGCCGGCCUGAGAGGGUGACCGGCCACACUGGGACUGAGACACGGCCCAGACUCCUACGGGAGGCAGCAGUGGGGAAUAUUGCACAAUGGGCGGAAGCCUGAUGCAGCGACGCCGCGUGAGGGAUGACGGCCUUCGGGUUGUAAACCUCUUUCAGUAGGGAAGAAGCGAGAGUGACGGUACCUGCAGAAGAAGCGCCGGCUAACUACGUGCCAGCAGCCGCGGUAAUACGUAGGGCGCAAGCGUUGUCCGGAAUUAUUGGGCGUAAAGAGCUCGUAGGCGGUUUGUCGCGUCUGCUGUGAAAGCCCGGGGCUCAACCCCGGGUCUGCAGUGGGUACGGGCAGACUAGAGUGCAGUAGGGGAGACUGGAAUUCCUGGUGUAGCGGUGAAAUGCGCAGAUAUCAGGAGGAACACCGAUGGCGAAGGCAGGUCUCUGGGCUGUUACUGACGCUGAGGAGCGAAAGCAUGGGGAGCGAACAGGAUUAGAUACCCUGGUAGUCCAUGCCGUAAACGUUGGGCACUAGGUGUGGGGGACAUUCCACGUUUUCCGCGCCGUAGCUAACGCAUUAAGUGCCCCGCCUGGGGAGUACGGCCGCAAGGCUAAACUCAAAGGAAUUGACGGGGGCCCGCACAAGCGGCGGAGCAUGCGGAUUAUUUCGAUGCAACGCGAAGAACCUUACCAAGGCUUGACAUUCACCGGACUGCCCCAGAGAUGGGGUUUCCCUUCGGGGUCGGUGGACAGGGGG
Molecule: ribosomal RNA, 942 nt
Filed under: Kocuria sp. 83ND31
Lineage: Bacteria; Bacillati; Actinomycetota; Actinomycetes; Micrococcales; Micrococcaceae
Description: bacterial SSU rRNA
Rfam family: Bacterial small subunit ribosomal RNA
Source: RNAcentral